Molecule: non-coding RNA, 27 nt
Filed under: Bombyx mori (domestic silkworm)
Lineage: Eukaryota; Metazoa; Arthropoda; Insecta; Lepidoptera; Bombycidae
Source: RNAcentral
UUCUAUGGUAUGGUCUACAUUUUUGCA